This 1359-nucleotide ribosomal RNA is filed under the name uncultured bacterium. Its description in RNAcentral is "16S ribosomal RNA". It matches the Rfam family "Bacterial small subunit ribosomal RNA", at positions 29 to 1381 of the family's 1533-position model. The record is from RNAcentral.
AUGAACGCCAGCUACAGGCUUAACACAUGCAAGUUCGAGGGGCAGCAUGGUCUUAGCUUCGCUAAGGCCGAAGGCGACCGGCGCACGGGUGAGUAACACGUAUCCAACCUGCCGUCUACUCUUGGACAGCCUUCUGAAAGGAAGAUUAAUACAAGAUGGCAUCAUGAGUCCGCAUGUUCACAUGAUUAAAGGUAUUCCGGUAGACGAUGGGGAUGCGUUCCAUUAGAUAGUAGGCGGGGUAACGGCCCACCUAGUCUUCGAUGGAUAGGGGUUCUGAGAGGAAGGUCCCCCACAUUGGAACUGAGACACGGUCCAAACUCCUACGGGAGGCAGCAGUGAGGAAUAUUGGUCAAUGGGCGAGAGCCUGAACCAGCCAAGUAGCGUGAAGGAUGACUGCCCUAUGGGUUGUAAACUUCUUUUAUAAAGGAAUAAAGUCGGGUAUGGAUACCCGUUUGCAUGUACUUUAUGAAUAAGGAUCGGCUAACUCCGUGCCAGCAGCCGCGGUAAUACGGAGGAUCCGAGCGUUAUCCGGAUUUAUUGGGUUUAAAGGGAGCGUAGAUGGAUGUUUAAGUCAGUUGUGAAAGUUUGCGGCUCAACCGUAAAAUUGCAGUUGAUACUGGAUAUCUUGAGUGCAGUUGAGGCAGGCGGAAUUCGUGGUGUAGCGGUGAAAUGCUUAGAUAUCACGAAGAACUCCGAUUGCGAAGGCAGCCUGCUAAGCUGCAACUGACAUUGAGGCUCGAAAGUGUGGGUAUCAAACAGGAUUAGAUACCCUGGUAGUCCACACGGUAAACGAUGAAUACCCGCUGUUUGCGAUAUACUGCAAGCGGCCAAGCGAAAGCGUUAAGUAUUCCACCUGGGGAGUACGCCGGCAACGGUGAAACUCAAAGGAAUUGACGGGGGCCCGCACAAGCGGAGGAACAUGUGGUUUAAUUCGAUGAUACGCGAGGAACCUUACCCGGGCUUAAAUUGCAGAUGAAUUACGGUGAAAGCCGUAAGCCGCAAGGCAUCUGUGAAGGUGCUGCAUGGUUGUCGUCAGCUCGUGCCGUGAGGUGUCGGCUUAAGUGCCAUAACGAGCGCAACCCUUGUUGUCAGUUACUAACAGGUUCCGCUGAGGACUCUGACAAGACUGCCAUCGUAAGAUGUGAGGAAGGUGGGGAUGACGUCAAAUCAGCACGGCCCUUACGUCCGGGGCUACACACGUGUUACAAUGGGGGGUACAGAGGGCCGCUACCACGCGAGUGGAUGCCAAUCCCCAAAACCUCUCUCAGUUCGGACUGGAGUCUGCAACCCGACUCCACGAAGCUGGAUUCGCUAGUAAUCGCGCAUCAGCCACGGCGCGGUGAAUACGUUCCCGGGCCU